UACGAAGGGUGCAAACGUUGCUCGGAAUCAUUGGGCGUAAAGCGCACGUAGGCGGCUCCAAAAGUUGGAUGUGAAAUCCCUCGGCUCAACCGAGGACGUGCAUCCAAAACUGUGGGGCUUGAGUACUGAAGAGGAUCGCGGAAUUCCCGGUGUAGAGGUGAAAUUCGUAGAUAUCGGGAGGAACACCAGUGGCGAAGGCGGCGAUCUGGGCAGAUACUGACGCUGAGGUGCGAAAGCGUGGGGAGCAAACAGG
Molecule: ribosomal RNA, 253 nt
Filed under: uncultured bacterium
Lineage: Bacteria
Description: partial 16S ribosomal RNA
Rfam family: Bacterial small subunit ribosomal RNA
Source: RNAcentral